CCUACGGGUGGCAGCAGUAGGGAAUAUUGCUCAAUGGGGGAAACCCUGAAGCAGCAACUCCGCGUGGAGGAUGAAGGUUUUCGGCUUGUAAACUCUUUUUGUUAGAGAAGCUAAUUCCGGUAUGUAACGAAUACGCACCGGCUAACUCCGUGCCAGCUGCGGCGGUAAUAUGGAGGGUGCAUGCGUUACCCGGAAUCACUGGGCGUAAAGGGCGUGUAGACGGGUUAGCAAGUCAGUUGUAAAAUCCUAUGGCUAAACCAUAGAACUGUAUUUGAAACUGUUAUCCUGGAGUAUGGGAGGGGUAGGGGGAAUUCUUGGUGUAGGGGUAAAAGCUGUGGAGAUCAAGAGAAAUACUCAUGGCGAAGGCGACCUGCUAGAACGUAACUGACGC
Molecule: ribosomal RNA, 391 nt
Filed under: uncultured bacterium
Lineage: Bacteria
Description: partial 16S ribosomal RNA
Rfam family: Bacterial small subunit ribosomal RNA
Source: RNAcentral